This 452-nucleotide long non-coding RNA is filed under the name Lepisosteus oculatus (spotted gar). Its description in RNAcentral is "lncRNA (ENSLOCG00000022990.1)". The record is from RNAcentral. Lineage: Eukaryota; Metazoa; Chordata; Actinopteri; Semionotiformes; Lepisosteidae.
GAGCAGUUUGACAGUGGCUUGCAGACAGAGCUGGAGCAGUCCACUGACCCCUCUUUUCUCUCUCAGUACACAGAGCAGUUUGACAGUGGCUUGCAGACAGAGCUGGAGCAGUCCACUGACCCCUCUCUAUCUCUCUCAGUACACAGAGCAGUUUGUCAGUGGCUUGCAGACAGAGCUGGAGCAGUCUCGACUGCAGGAGGCUGAGUUGCUAGCUGCUCUGAAGGAGAUGCAGGACAAAGUUUUGGAGCUGGAGAAGCCUCCUGGUUGCUGCUCAGUGUGUGGGUGGGCGCUCAUUAUCAGACUUGUUGAGCUCAAACCAAAGCUUUAAUCCAGCGCUCUACUAAAGGGGCAGGAACAGAGAGGCUGUUGACUCUUAAUGACCCCAAAGAGCACAUGAGGGAGACAGGAAGCUAGGAGGCGAGAAGAGUGAGCCCUGCUCAGGGAGAAAGCAG